Talpa occidentalis (Iberian mole) is the source of this 379-nucleotide long non-coding RNA. RefSeq lists it as uncharacterized. The record is from RefSeq and is a predicted model, not a curated record. Lineage: Eukaryota; Metazoa; Chordata; Mammalia; Eulipotyphla; Talpidae. The transcript is spliced from 3 exons.
AGCAGAAAUAAGUUAAAAGUCAAAGAGAAGGGUCUAGCACCUGGACAGGAGACAGGCCAUGCUCAGGACAGCAAGUGAGAAAUCCCUGAUUUAAGAGCAAGUGGAUGAAGAAAUAUUAGAAACCAGCUAUUUCAUGUUCUGUUCAGGGCCUGCAUGGACAGCUGCUGAUCUCACAAGAAGGAAUGUUUUUCAGCUACAAGGAGAUCUUGCAGCUGUAGAUAAAGAAAACCAAAGGAGCUUGGACCUCCCCAACAGCACAGAUGGGCUGACCACACUAGGGGACCACCCUAAAACAUGCCCUUUACCCACCUUUGCCCCCCACCAGUGGAAGCCUAGCCCUUCCACCCACCGUGCUUGUCAAUAAAAAGCAAAAAUGACA